Non-coding RNA from Doryrhamphus excisus (bluestripe pipefish), 9687 nucleotides. The record is from RefSeq and is a predicted model, not a curated record. Lineage: Eukaryota; Metazoa; Chordata; Actinopteri; Syngnathiformes; Syngnathidae.
GCUUGGAAGUUACGUCACAGCUGAAACUUUCUUGAAACAACACUUGCGAACAACGACAAAUCCGACCUGAAGACGUGCAAUUUAUUCCAAAAAUUCAAAUGUUUACAUGUGGUUGUGAUCACAGCACAGAAAAGAAUGAGUGCGCAAACGACAACAACAAAUCAUUUGGAAAGACUUACUGAACCUGACAUUUUUAUUUCAGUACGUCUUCACGCGACGGCGCAUUGCUGGUGACGGCAUCACCACGCGACUCCAUUUGUGCUACGCAGUUGGUUGUUUGGAUUUGUUGGGCUAUUUGAAUUUUCUACGAGAGAUUUUGAUCUUGGUGAAUGUUUCAACGUUUUAGUCCUUCAUAUGACAGAUAGGAGAAGCAACGCCAGGAAGCCGCCAGCAUCACUUUUUAUUUGUGCCGCCCGAACCUCCGGUGUAUGUUUGGUUCGGCCCAGCUGAUGGAAUACGCAAAGGGUGCAGUUGAAGGUUCGCUGCUGGCUACCAGCAACGUCAGCAACGUUCCGGCCUUCCUCGCUAAACUGUGGACUUUGUUGGAAGACCCUGAAACUGACCCCCUCAUCUGUUGGAGCCCGACGGGAACCAGUUUCCAUGUAUACGAUCAGGGUCGGUUCUCUAAGGAGGUUCUCCCACAGUUCUUCAAACACAACAACAUGGCCAGUUUCAUCCGACAGCUCAAUAUGUAUGGCUUCCGGAAGGUGGUGCACAUCGAGCAAGGCGGUCUGUUGAAACCAGAGAAAGAUGACACAGAGUUCCAGCAUCCAUUCUUCAUCAGAGGACAAGAACAUUUACUGGAGAACAUCAAACGCAAAGUCACCAAUGUGUCUGCUGUGCGGCAAGAGGAGGUGAAGAUCUCAGCAAAUGAGGUCAGUAAGAUCCUGAAUGACGUACAAAUGAUGAAGGGAAAGCAGGAGACCAUUGACUCCAGAAUCAUCGCCAUGAAGCAUGAAAACGAGGCUCUGUGGAGGGAAAUGGCGUGUCUGAGACAGAAACACGCGCAGCAGCAGAAAGUGGUCAACAAGUUGAUUCAGUUCCUGGUAUCGCUGGUCCAGUCCAAUCGGAUCAUGGGAGUCAAGCGAAAACUCCCACUGAUGCUCAAUGAUGCCAGCAGCACCCACUCCAUGCCCAAAUACAGCCGACCCCUUUCACUGGAGCACUUGCUGUCUGCAGCCAGCACCUACUCAGCGGAAUCCUCUUUGACCUCUGGACCCAUCAUCUCUGACGUCACAGAGCUGGCCACGCCCGCAUCAGAAGAGGUGGUCAGUGACUGGAUGGAAGCUGGAAAGACUAACAUCAAGGAGGAGGAGCCUGUCAUUCCUGACAUGGUGGACAGUCCUGUCCUGGAGGAUGUGGGUACGUCUGUAGACACGCCUCUUUCUCCCACCGCCUUCAUCAACUCCAUUCUGCAAGAAAAUGACACGCAGUCUCCCCAGAACACCGUAAUGGCCAACCUGGCGGCAGGUAAGUCAUCAAGCCUACACGCUCUGCUUCUUCAUAAUCCUUUGCCGUUCUCUUUCACCUCGAUGCCUUCAGCUGCUCCUGUGGUUCUGAUGAGCACCCCCCACACCGGGCCCCUCCCACCAGUUCCAAAUGGCCAAACACCCGCCUCCAACCCAGACUUGGCUCACAAGUGUCAGACGGUUGUCUGUAUUGACAAGUCUGAAUUGUCGGAUCACGUGGAAACCAUUGACAACAGUCUAGAAAACCUGCAGAACAUCCUGAACAACCAAACCUUCACCUUUGAUACUUCUCCGCUCAUGGAGUUGAUGUACCCCUCGUGGUCCCCAGGAGACUUUGACAUCAACAGCCUGGACAGUCUUCUAUGUGACGACACCUCCAAAGGAGCCCAUCAAAGCAACACCACAGGGAAGCAGCUGGUGCAGUACACGCCUGUGCAGAUUUCUGAAGCCGUCGAUGCAGGCGAGGGCGGGGCCGACUUGCCGUCGUUACUGGAGUUGGAGGCGGAGCCUUUCCUCAAUCCUGACACGCCCACUGAUGACCAAACAGCAAAUUGAACUCUGACCUCUGACAUCAGCAAGGAGGGAUGAGACUCUUGCUGUUACUGAUCAGCAGGUCAAAGCUUAAGAUAUUGGGCGCUGCCUCCAACCGGACCUGCCCGAGGACGAGCACUCAGUGUCAGACUUUGUCAGAAUCACCGCUGGUGCUGUGGAGCUCAGAAGCCGGACGUUUUUUGCGAGACAGUGAGUACUCUCCACCUCUGUGGACGCACAGCAUGUCUGACAUGAAUGCACCUUUCCUGGCGAGACCACGCUGCUUCUGGCUCCAGCAAAUGUUUGGCGGAUAUUUCAUGUUCUCAAAAACGGCCCUGUGCAAAAAUGCCAUUGACAGAUGAAACUAUUUUUCUCCUGCUGGGAAUCACCAACUAUAAUAACAUCUGCCUGAGGUUGUUUCAUAAACAGAUAGGCAGAGGUUGGGGGAGGGCAGAGAGUGUAUGGCGUCUACAUCCACGCUCUCUGAAAGCCAGCGUUUUGAGCCAUCUUUCAGGGCUCACUUCCAAAUGCGCAAACCCUGUCAUCUGAAACUUUGGCAUGGUUCAACACCAGAAUACAACAUUUUAACUACAUUUUAUAGGUCAGAAAAGUCAUCCCUUUAAGGGAUAGUUGGGAUGUUUAGACAUGCAUAUCCAUCAACAGUGUAGGUCAGUUCAUCCGGAAAUUAUUUGCAGCGCUUCACAUUUACCACAUUUUUUGAUGUCACAGCUUUAUUCCAAAAUGGAUUAAAUACAUUUUUUUCUCUGAAAUUGUACACACAACACCCCAUAACAGCAAUGUGAAAAAAAACAUUUUUGUAAUUGCUAAUUUAUUAAAAAUAAAGAAGUGACAUGACCAUAAGUAUCCACAGCCUCUGCCCAAUACUUUGUUGAUGCCCCUUUGGCCAAUUCCAGCCAAAGCGAGCGAGACAAGGUGUGCCUUUCCACAUCGUGUCCAACCAACUGUUUACCACUCCAAUGAAGCUACUGAAACAUCUAAAGGAUGAUCAGUGGAAACAGAAUGUACUUGAGCUCCAUUUGGAGUUUCACGCCAAAGGCUGUGAUACUUGUGUGAUUAUGUGAUUAUUCACUUUUUAAUUUAUAAUACAUUUCCCACAAUUAAAAGAAAAACAUUUUUCACAUUGUCAUUAUGGGGUGUUGUGUGUAGACUUUUUGAGAAAAAUAUGCAUUGAAUCCAUCCAUCCAUUUUCCUCCGCUUAUCCGGGUCGCGGGGGCAGCAGUCUCGGUAGGGAAGCCCAGACUUCCCGGUCCCCGGCCACCUCCUCCAGCUCCACCGGGAGGACACCAAGGCGUUCCCAGGCCAGCUGUGAGACAAAAUCCCUCCAGUGUGUCCUAGGUCUGCCCCGGGGCCUUUUCGGGCUGGUCAUGCCCGGAACACCUCACCAGGGAGGCGUCCGGGAGGCAUCCAGACUAGAUGCCCGAGCCACCUCAACUGACACUUCUUGAUGUGAAGGAGGAGCGGCUUCUCAGUCUAUCUCUUAGGGUGACUCCAGCUACCCUAUGGGGAAACUCAUUUCAGCCGCCUGUAUCCGCCAUCUCAUGACCUUCAGUCAUGAGCCAAAGCUCAUGACCAUAGGUGAGGGUGGGAACAUAGAUCGACCGGUAAAUUGACAGCUUUGCCUUCCGGCUCAGCUCUCUUUUCACCACGACGGUCCGGUACAGCAACCGCAUAACUGCCAAGGCUGCGCAGAUCCGCCUGUCGACCUCACGCUCCCAGACUAAGAGUGAUUCAGAAGACCCUUCUGACUAAAGCCAAGAGGAGGAACCGUACCUCGCCCGGAUGUGAGAUACUGGGGCUUCACCCUGGAGCCAGGCCCGGGGGAAGGGCUCACAGGCGAGCGUCUGGUGGUUGGGCCUUCACCAGUGGGGCCCGGCCGGUCCCAGCCAGAAUAAGCCACACAGGAUCUCCCCCUUGUAGACCCACCACUUUGUUUUCGGCGGGCAAAUCUGAAUUGAAUCAAUUUUGGAAUAAGGCUGUGACAUAAACAAAUGUGGAAAAUAUGAAGCGCUGUGAAUACUUUCCAAAUGUCCUGUACGUCAACGGUGACAUUUGGUCCCAUCAGCCCACUGGUGCUCAGAUGGCGAUACCCUGUCCUUUGUUGUGUGUGUUCCACACUGUUUACAUGCACAGAUGGCGAUAGCCUGUCCUUUGUUGUGUGUGUGUUCCACACUGUUUACUGGCACGGAUGGCGAUAGCCUGUCCUUUGUUGUGUGUGUGUUCCACACUGUUUACUGGCACGGAUGGCGAUAGCCUGUCCUUUGUUGUGUGUGUUCCACACUGUUUACAUGCACGGAUGGCGAUAGCCUGUCCUUUGUUGUGUGUGUUCCACACUGUUUACUGGCACGGAUGGCGAUAGCCUGUCCUUUGUUGUGUGUGUUCCACACUGUUUACUGGCACGGAUGGCGAUAGCCUGUCCUUUGUUGUGUGUGUGUUCCACAGUUUACUGGCACGGAUGGCGAUAGCCUGUCCUUUGUUGUGUGUGUGUUCCACAGUUUACUGGCACGGAUGGCGAUAGCCUGUCCUUUUGUGUGUGUGUGUUCCACAGUGGAAGUGGAAGCGAGUGAGUGUGAGGUGUGAGUUUCGUGAGGAGGCAUUUUUGUCAUGUAAAUGUAUUAGUGCUUUGAAAGCAUAUUGUUUUGAGAAGCCAAACUCAUGACUUAAAUGACUCAGGAACUAACCAGAACAAUAUUCCUCAUCACUGAAAUCUGGCCAGAACUGGACACUACAGUGCUGAAGGAGAUGAUAACUUCAUGUGAAAAUAUUCCAACUAUCCUUAAAAUAUCAUUAUCAUUCAUUGUACUAAUUCUGACCAACAUCUCUGAUGUGAACACACUGGAGAGACUUACCAGCCUUGUGGAAGUCCUCAGUCACCUGUACAGCACCUGCACCAACACAUGACAUCAUCAUACACAGCACCAUAGGGUAUGGCAUCAUCAUAGGGUAUGGCAUCAUCAUAGGAUAUGAUAUUAAAGGGUAUGACAUCAUCAUAGGGUAUGAUAUCAUCAUAGGGUAUGAUAUGGGUAUGAUAUCAGGGUAUGAUAUCAUCAUAGGGUAUACAUCAUCAUAGGGUAUGACAUCAUAAGGUAUGAUAUCAUUGGGUAUGAACUAGGUUAUAACAUAAUCACAGGGAAUGCUAUCAUAGGGUACGAUAUAUAGAGCAGGGGUCAUUUCCAGUCUUAUUGGCUCCAUGCAUGGAGUUUGUUGCUGGCAAGCUUGCCUUUUGGAAGGUACCUCUUGGCAUGCCUUCUGACAGUGAGCAUUCCAGCAGAAGUCCUGAAUAGUGGGAAACCUGUACCACUGGGCCGCCGCAUACCCUUCUACCUACCCUAAAUGCUGGGAGGAAGGACACAUUCCUCAUGCGUGAUGCAAACAUUGUCACCCUGUAUAAAAACAAGGGUGACAAAAGCGACUGUAACAACUACCGAGGUAUCUCCCUCCUGAGCACUGUGGGGAAGGUCUUCACACAUGUCACCCUUGCCCGCCUGCAGACCCUCACCUCCUACAUCUGCCAAUGUGCCUUCCGUGCUGACCGGUCAAACGUGGACAUGGUAUUCUCCCUGGUCAGCUCUAAGAGAAGUGCCAGGAACAGCAGAUGUCUCUCUUUGUCGCUUUCAUCGAUCUAACAAAGGCAUUUGAUUUCGUCAGCAGGAGCGAACUUUCAGUUCCUUAAGAAGAUCGGCUGCCCCCCCACACCUGCAUACUGUCAUCACCUCUUUCCAAGACAACAUGCACAGCACACUGUGCUUCAGCGGUGCCACGUCUGGGGCUUUUCCUGUCAGCAGUGGUGUGAAAGCAGGGCUGUGUCCUUGCACCAACGCUCUUCGGCCUUUUGUUCUCCUUGCUCCUUCAAUACGCUUUUAAAGACUGCGGCGAAGGGGUGUACAUUCACACCCGAGCCGAUGGCAAGCUCUUCAACAUUGCCGCCGCCGUGCCAAGACCAAAGUGAGAGAGGUGCGAGAUGCUCUUCGCGGAUGAUGCAGCCCUAGUUUCGCAUAUGGAUCAUGGACUGCAGCAGCUCGUCAGUAGUUUCUCUGCUGCCGGCAAGGAGUUUGGGCUCACCUUCGGCCUGAAGAAAACCAAUGUCAUGGCUCACGGCACAGACCAUCCCCCAACCAUCGCCAUUGAUGGGCAUGUGCUGAACACUGUGGGAAACUUCACCCACCUUGGGUCCUCCAUCUCAAGCUCGCACACACUGGAAACAGAAGUGAGCAGCAGAAUCGCCAAGACCGCAGUAGUCAUGUCGAAACUGCACCAGAGUCUGGAAUAUCUCCAGUCUCACGGAAAAGACUAAGAUGCGUGUCUACCAAGCCUCUGUGCUUAGCACCCUCCUUUACAGCAGCGAAGCAUGGACCCCCUACGCAGGCAUGAGAAGAGACUCCACAGCUUCCACCUCAGAUGCCUACGAUGCAUUCUCUACGUCCGUUGCAGGACAAAAUCCCAGACAGGGAGAUACUACAGCGAGCAGGCAUGAAGAGAAUUGUGGCCAUCUUGAGGGGCAGACGUUUGCGCUGACUCGGCCUCGUGCGCAGGAUGGAUGCAGGUCAAAUUCCAAAGGACAUCCUGUAGGAGAACUUGUUGAGGGCACACGACCAACUGGGAGCCCCUGCCUCCGCUUCAAAAACGUCUGCCAAAGAGACAUGAAGCAGUGCAAUAUCGAUGUCUCCUACUGGGACAGCCUUGCUGAGGACCGGUCUUCCUGGCAACUAACUGAAAUCUGGCGUAAAGGUGGCUGAGGAUGCCAGAAAUGCAGCUUUGGCUAAGAGAAGGCGGAAGCAGAGUGCUAGCCACAACAAUCAACAUUCGUCUGCAAAAAAUGCAAGGGGGACUGCCACUCGAGGGUGGGACUGUUCAACCACUCCCACCGUUGCCGCUGACCUCCCAUCUCUACGGAACUCCUCCAUCGUCUCAUGAAGACAGAAGGAUGCCAGAGACAGAGGUGGUAUAGGGUAUGACAUCAUCAUAGGGUAUGAUAUAGCGUAUGACAUCAUAGGGUAUGAUGUAGAGUAUGACAUCAUCAUAGGGUAUGAUAUAGCGUAUGACAUCAUAGGGUAUGAUGUAGAGUAUGACAUCAUCAUAGGGUAUGACAUCAUCAUAAGGUAUGAUAUAGGGCAGGGGUUGGCAACCUGUACUAUGAAGAGAGCCAUUUAACAAAGGCCCACUAAAGAAAAGCCUGGAGCCACAAAACAUCGGUUUAAAACCAAAACGCUCUUCUUCGUCUUAUAAAUUCUACACCUGAAGAAAUUAUGAAUCUCCCACUGUUUUGGCUGACAAAUUUGGAGGGAAUUUUGGGGUAUCGUAGUAGUUCAGAUAAUAAACAACCAGUUGAUGGAAUACUCUUGCUAGUAUUUGUUAUAAACUUACAUAAAUGUAUGUGUCAAUUAUCUGAUUUGUUUACUCUGGCACAAUCAAGUUCCCAUGCCGCUGUUUUUAAAAUGAUCUCUAAUUCAUUUUAUAGAAAUGUCAAAUAGCUCCUGGAAAGUGAGACUUUUGUCCUCCAUGUUUAUCUGUGUGAGAGAGAACCGAAUAGCAUCCUUUCGGCUCAUCCAAUCACCAGUCAGGACUCAGCCAGGAUGCCUUCAUGGUCUCACACAAAGUUGGAUUUUUUUCUAUUUUAACUCAUUACAAAGAUGUGCAUUUUCCCCACUCGGGUGUUAAAAUAUUUGAGCUUUGCAAAGGGAGCCACAAUAAGGAGGCUGAAGAGCCACAUGCAGCUCUGGAGCCACGGGUUGCUGAUCCCUGCACUAUAUCAUACCCUAUGAUGAUGUCAUAAGCUAUAGCAUACCCUGUGAUGAUGUCAUAUGCUAUAUCAUACCCUAUGAUGAUUCAUACCGUAUAUCAUACCCUAUGAUGAUGUCAUAUGCUAUAUCAUACCCUAUGAUGAUUCAUACCGUAUAUCAUACCCUAUGAUGAUGUCAUAUGCUAUAUCAUACCCUAUGAUGAUUCAUACCGUAUAUCAUACCCUAUGAUGAUGUCAUAUGCUAUAUCAUAUCCUAUGAUAAUGUCAUACCCCAUAUUGGGGGUCGGCAACCCCCAGAGAGACGCACGCGGCUCUUUAGCGCCGUCCUAGUGGCUCCCUGGAGUUUUUUGAAAAAUGUUUGAAAAUGGAAAAAGAUGGGGAAGAGAAAUAUAUUUUUGGUUUUAAUAUGGUUUCUGUAGGAAGACAAACGACUCAAACAUUCUUAAUGUUUUCCAAUGCUGUAAAAUGUGUAGAGUAAAUAUUACAUUUCAACAUUUCUGUCAAUGAAGAUUUGCGUCAUAGCCCGCGACACACAUUUCUAUGCCCUGCUACAACAGGUGGCUGUUGUAAACAAACCGGCGGCUGUGUGAUGGGCCAUGGAUCCCAAAGGGAAAAAGAGAAAAAUAACUGAGGAUUAAAUGUUUCUUGUACCUUUCUUGGACUGAAUCUUUUGCAUUCAUUGCAUUCAUCUUACAUGCCCGAUGUUGAGAAGCUGACCAGUCAUGUCCGAAAACAGAAGUCACAUUAACGGGUAAGAACACAAUCCUGUGACACAUAUUUAGUAACAAAGUGGCUGUUUUAAAGUGAUUUCUGAUUUUCGCCAGUAUAUAUUUGGUAUGACACUUAGGGAUAUUAUUGUGUUUUGUUCCUCGGGUCGAGUGUUACAGGCAUUUGCCUUGGACAGCUAUGUAGGGUGGACUUGCAUGACCUUUGAACCAGGAAGUUCGGUGUAAAAUGUCUCGGGGCUGGAAUGUUAAAAUCCAGUUGGUUGGAAGCAACAAGUAACAUUUUCCUUCUCUGCUGAAGUCAGGUCGCCCUUCGGAGCUGAAUAACACUGACAAGUUGACACGUUGGUUCGGUAGAUAGUUCAUCUACAUCUACCUACCUAUCUACCUACCUACCUACCUACCUACCUACCUGACAAGUUAACACCAGGAUAGCUACGUUGGUUGUGUGUCAAAAGAGGACAGCUGCUGCGUUUUACCCUUGCACCGAUUUGCUUGGCAUUUGCACAGAAAUCAAACGUAAACUAUUAAUUUGAUUUUAUAUACUUCACAUUUUCAAAAGGCUUUCGUUUUAUUUUUAUAAAUGCAGGCUGCGUUUUGUUGCACUGUUUGUUGCCCAGAUUAAGGGCAGGGGGUUAUGCACGUUCGAUUUUGUUGUUUUUUCGAAUCCUCGAAAUAAAAAAAUCGGAUUUCUAUAUUGCAUUUCUUUAAUUUCAUCAAAUCAAUGGAACAUAAUUUAUCAAUAUUGUAACGGUCGAGUGGUUAGCGCGCAGACCUCACAGCUAGGAGACCUGAGUUCAAUCCCACCCUCGGCCAUCUCUGUGUGGAGUUUGCAUGUUCUCCCCAUGCAUGUAUGGUUUUCUCCGGUACUCCGGUUUCCUCCCCCAUUCCAAAAACAUGCUAGGUUAAUUGGCCACUCCAAAUUGUCUAUAGGUAUGAAUGUGGGUGGGAAUGGUUGUUGUCUAUAUGUGCCCUGGGAUUGGGUGGCAAACCAGUCCAGGGUGUACCGCACCUCACGCCCAAAGACAGCUGGGAUAGGCUCCAGCACCCCCUUGUGAGGGUAAACGGUAGAAAAUAAAUGAAUGAAUGAAGUUAAACUUGAGGCGGCAUCGUACGACAGAGUAGUCAUCGUGCGUCAUUCCCUACAGGAUACGCUGCAGGGAAAAUAAACAUUUAAUCAUGAAGUCAUUAUGUAUUUGUAGCC